GCUCAAAUUUGUAAUCUGGCGUCCUUCGGGCGUCCGAGUUGUAAUCUAUAGAAGUGUUUUCCGUGCCGGACCAUGUCCAAGUCCCUUGGAACAGGGUAUCAAAGAGGGUGACAAUCCCGUACUUGACAUGACCACCGGUGCUCUGUGAUACACUUUCUACGAGUCGAGUUGUUUGGGAAUGCAGCUCAAAAUGGGUGGUAAAUUCCAUCUAAAGCUAAAUAUUGGCGAGAGACCGAUAGCGAACAAGUACCGUGAGGGAAAGAUGAAAAGCACUUUGGAAAGAGAGUUAAACAGUACGUGAAAUUGUUGAAAGGGAAACGAUUGAAGUCAGUCGUGUUCUUUGGACUCAGCCGGUUCUUCCGGUCUAUUUCCUUUGAACGGGUCAACAUCAGUUUUGUCCGGUGGAUAAAGGCAGGAAGAAAGUGGCUCCCUCGGGAGUGUUAUAGCUUUCUGUCACAUACACUGGAGGAGACUGAGGACUGCAGCUCGCCUUUUGGCCGGGGUUCGCCCACGUUCGAGCUUAGGAUGUUGACAUAAUGGCUUUAAA
Molecule: ribosomal RNA, 547 nt
Filed under: Vanrija musci
Lineage: Eukaryota; Fungi; Basidiomycota; Tremellomycetes; Trichosporonales; Trichosporonaceae
Description: eukaryotic LSU rRNA
Rfam family: Eukaryotic large subunit ribosomal RNA
Source: RNAcentral